Molecule: long non-coding RNA, 11740 nt
Organism: Corythoichthys intestinalis (scribbled pipefish)
Lineage: Eukaryota; Metazoa; Chordata; Actinopteri; Syngnathiformes; Syngnathidae
Exons: 2
Source: RefSeq, a predicted model, not a curated record
CUGUAAUUUUCUCUCAAAAUCAACAAUACAGUGGUAUGAAAAAGUAUCCGAACCUUUUGUAAUUUCUCACAUUUCUGCAUAAAAUUACCAUCAAAUGUGAUCUGAUCUUUUUCAAAAUCACACAGGUGUAAAAACAGUGUCUGCUUUAACAAAAACCACCCAAACAUUUAUAGGUUUUCAUAUUUUAAUGAGGAUAGCUUGCAAACAAUGACAGAAGGGGAAACAAUAAGUGUUAGGUUUUGUGUUGGUUUUCUCCUAGUGUGACUUGUCCCUGUGAUUGCCCAUUGAUUUCACCUGUUGUACCUGCUCCUUGUGUAUCCUCCAAUCUGCAUCCUCCUGUGCUCACCUGUCCCUCGUUGUGUCGUUACCCCUUGUCUGUGUGUGUAUAUAUGCUCCCGGUUUCUUUUCACUCCUUGUUGCGUCAUUGUCAAUGUCCAUGUGCAAGUCCGAACCUGUUCUCGCUAGUUUUCUCCAAGCCCUCGUGUUUCCCUCAGUAAGUUUUGAUACCCAGCCUUUUGUUAGUAACCUGAGUUUUGUUUGCUGUUGUGUUUUUUGGGAUCUCGUCAUUAUUUGCUGGUACUUUGUAUUUUGCCUGCCGUAAUGAAAUCAUUUUUGCACCGUCAAUCUGCCUCGCCUCCUUUCCCUGCAAUUGGGUCCACACACCACCUGCCUGCCCGUUUCCUGACAAAUAAGUAAGUGAACCUUCUGGGGAGACAUAAAGAGCAAUUGAAACCAAUUUUUACCAAACAUUUUAAGUCAGGGAUGUGCCCAAUCACUGAUGAGUGGUUUAAAGCUAGCUCGCCCACUAUAAAACACAUACCUGGUAAGAAUUGUUUUGAACAGAAGCAUUUUUUUUUUUUUUUAAUGUGCAUCAUGGCUCGGUCAAAAGAGUUGUCUGAAGACCUGCGAUCAAGGAUUGUUGAUAUGUAUAAAGCUGGGAAAGGAUGCAAAACCAUCUUUAAAAAUCUGGAUGUUCAUCAAUCGACAGUCAGAGAAGUUGUCUACAAAUGGAGAGUUAGGCACUGUUACUCUUUUCUGAAGGAGUGACUGUCCACCAAAGAUGACGCUCAGAGUUCAGCGCAGAAUACUCAGAGAGGUAAAAAAAGUGUCUACUAAAGACUUACAGAAAUUACUGGCACAGUCCAAUAUCUCUGUGCACACAUCAACUAUAUGUAAAACUAUGGCCAAGAAUUGUGUUCAUGGGGGGACAUCACGGAGGAAGCCAUUGCUGUCUAAAACAACAUUGCUGCUCGUUUAAUGUUCGCAAAAAGGCACUUGGACACUCCACACACGUUUUGGCAAAAUAUUUUGCGGAUUGAUGAAACCAAAGUUGAAUGUUUGUGGAGGAACCCACAACGUCGUGUGUAGGGAUGGGAAUCGAAAUCCGAUUCCAAUUCGGAACCGGUUCCGAGUGUUUCGAGGCCUCGACAUCACAAUGAAAAAGCCUUAACGAUCCCUUUAACGAGUCCUGAAGACGCAUAUUGCGUUGUGACUGUCUUGUUGUCCAAAUGCAUCAAACUAGCAUGGCGCCAAGAACCACUCGCUCCAAAGUUUGACUACACUUCACCAGGAAAGAGUGUGAAAAUGAAAGGUUACGACGGGUAAGCACGAGCAUUGCAGCCAUAAACAUAACAAUGACAGCACGUAGGUUCAAACGCUUGUAAGUGUGUCUUCACUUCACGAGGAAAAAUUACAACAAAGCGACUUGCAGUCAUUGCAAGGUGGAGAUAACUGCAUCGGGAGGGAAUACGAUUGCGUUGUCCUCACAGAGAGGCUAAGGCUCAUUCCUGGCUAUAAAAAAACAAACAAACAAACAAACAAAAAAAAAGUCCCGGCUAUACAGUUAGCUAAACUCCCAAAUGACGAUGCAGAAGACGUUGGUAUAAUUUGCUGACUUUAUCCAACCAUCACUUGAAGAGUGAAACUAAGAAUAGAAAUGAAACAAACAAUUUCGUCCCCAAUAACAAACAGGUUUGCAUCAAAGUAAAUCAGCGAUGAUUAGCUGCUAAUAACAGUAUGGUUAGCAUUCGUUCGCUAGCAUUAGCACAUCGUUCAAACCACUACACAACUGGACUUAAAUGUUAAGUGUCCGAUCGCGAGUGGAAACACAACAACAACAACACAAAAGAUGAUACAUACAGGCGUUGCCUCUGUAGAUAUUAACAUUAACAAAGAACGUAGGCUCGUAGAAGUGUUUCCCUCUCUCACUCACUUGGAUGCGGCAUUUCUUUUUUGGGUGUAUGCGCGCUCCAGUGGUCCUCAAACUGCGGCCCGCGGCCCAAGUAUGGCCCGCCUCCACAUUUGGUCCGGCCAUUUUGAAUUUUUUUUUUUUUUUUCUCAAUCGUGUUAUUUAUUUUCUGGCCUUUUCCUUGAAGAAUUCAGAGAGGGUUAUUUGGUUAUUAUCUAUUUAAUUAAUAGUGUUUUUAUUAUUAAUUAUUAUUAUUAUUAUAAAGAAUCCAGAAAGGGUUAUUUGAUUGUGGCUUUCUGAAAAACAAUAAUUUUUUACAUUUAUGCACUUCUGCAAUCGUCACACUUUUUCUGUAACAAACUGACCCCGGCCCCUCAUCAGAGAAGGGAAAAGUUAUGUGGCCCUCACAGGAAAAAGUUUGGGGACCCCUGCUUUAACACAUAUUGCCAAAGGCAGAACAAAAACCUAUCUGCCUAUAUAUAUACCAAUAUUUUUUAUUUCUAUUAGAUAAAUGUUUCAGUAAAAUGUUACACAUUCUUGUGUAUUUGCCACUUAUUGCCACAGUUAACAUUGAGGCUUUGGGCCUCUUUUGAUCUCGUUGUGAGUUUGUAAGGUUGUGACUUCUGAUUAAACAAACUCGAUGCCAAACUUGUUCUUUUUCCCCAAAUUAGAAUCGAUAAGAGAAUCGAUAAAGAAUUGAAUCGUUAAGCAAUAUCGAUAAUGGAAUCGGAAUCGUAAAAAUCCUAUCAAUUCCCAUCCCUAGUCGUGUGUGGAGGAAAAAUGGAACAGCUCACAAACAUCAACACCACAUCCCCUCCGUCAAGCACGGUGGAGGAAGAACAUGAUUUUGGGCUGUUUUGCUUCCUCAGGGCCUGAACGAUCAUUCAUGGAAAAAUGAAUUCAAAAGUUUAUCAGGACAUUUUACAGGAAAACAUGAGGCCGUCUGUCAGACAAUUGAAGCCAAAAAGAGGAUGGAUGCUGCAACAAGACAAUGAUCCAAAAUGCAGAAGUAAAUCAACUUCAGAAUGGUUUCAGAACAAAAUACACGUUCUGGAGUGUCCAAGUCAAAGUCCAGACUUGAACCUAAUUGAAAUGCUGUGGCAUGACCUAAAGACAGUGAUUCAUGUCAGACAUCCCAGGAAUCUGACUGAGCCACAGCAGUUUUGUAGAGAAGAAUGGGCCAAGUUUAGUCCUGAUGGAUGUGCCAGACUUAUCUGCAGCUACAGGAAGCAUCUGGUUGAAGUUAUUGCUGCCAAAGGGUGGGGGGGACACAAAAUAUUAAACGUGAUGGUUCGCUUACUUAUUUUCCCCCCCUCUGUCAUUGUUUGCGUACUAUCCUCAUUAAAAUAUGAAAACCUAUAAAUGUUUAGGUUGUUUUACUUAAGACACUGUUUUUUCAUCUGUGGGAUUUUGACAAAGAUCAGCUCGCAUUUCAUAGUGAUUUUAUGCAGAAAUGUGAGAAAUUCCAAAAGGUUCAGAUACUUUUUCAUACUACUGUACAUGCAAGCAUUACUUGUAUAAACAUAAUAAUGUAUACUAGUAUAUCAAGCUAGCAGUACAGUAUUGCUAUCAGCACCACCGUGAACUCAUCCAAUACUAACAUAUGUUUCCGUGUGUUAUGGAAAGGUCAUUCCUGGAAACAAGUCAACGCAUCAUGGCUGUUAUUGCAACCGUGUAGUAAAACAUCUAGGCCGGUCUUUAGAGAGCACGUGAGUGCACUCAGUGGGCAAAGCAUUGUGGAAAUUCUAUGCACAUACUGCAUAUCCUGGGUAGAAGGAUGGUGGUGGGGCUGCUAGCACACAUUAAGACAUACUGUACAUUACAUGUUAGCGCACUAGCGCGCACACAUGCACCACACAGCCUGGGGGGGAUAAAAGGCUACCGAAAGAAACCCCCAUUAGGGCAGGAGUGAAGCGGCAUUCCAUAUAGAAGAAGGGAGGUAUGUGGGUGGUGGGUGGGAGGCAUGCAGGUUAUUGUGAGCAUGCUGGUACUUCCAACUGCACCUCCCUCAAAGGAUACAAGAUAAGAAAUAUGUUUCAUUUUGACUUGCAUGAUUAAAAAAAAUGGUAACAUACCUGGGCAUUCUCUUGAACCUGAGGCGGUAACAUAAGGUAUCAUAUUUUUUACCAGAACAUAUUAUUGGACAGUUUUAGCUUGAAACAUAAAUCUAGUUUUUUUGUAGCUGUUUUUUUAUGUUGUAAAUAGGAGUGUAACGGUAUGCGCAAGUCACGGUUCGGUACGUACCUUGGUACGGGGGUCACGGUUCGGUACGGGUUCGGGACAAAAGGAAUAACAACGUUUUUUUUUUAAUCACAACCUUUUGAAAGUUUGUUCUAUUUGCUAAACUAAAACAGAGCCUUUAAUUAGAGUGCAAAAUUAAUAGAAGAAAACAUCAACACCACCAUCACCAUCAAAACAACACUCUGUUUUUUGUUGGGGUUGACUGAGGUAACUGUUAAAGUCAGGUAGCACUCGCCAGCUUUGCUAACUUUGGUAAGAUAACUCAUUUUCAAUGUUAGAUUACACACAGUUAACUGUAAACCAUUACCAGUGAACAUACACUCCCACACUAGAUAUACUUUUAAAACAGGUAGUCCUCGGCUUACAAACAAGUUCCUUUCCUUCGUUGGCGACUAGAGAUGUGAUGCCGAUCGAUCGGGUCCGAUCAUGUCAUUUUCAAAGUAUCGAAAUCGGCAAAAAAAUAUCGGACAUGCCUUUUUUUUUUUUAAAAUAUAUAUAUAUAUAUAUAUAUAUAUUUUUAUAAAUCCUUUUCUAAUUGUAUUUAACAUUACAUACAUAAUAUCUUACACUCAUCCAGAGUCUUUAGUUUUGGCUUAAGGUAGAGUUAUCAAAUUUAUCCCGAUAAUGGCGGUAAUCAAUUUUUUAAAAAUUGUAUCACGUUAAAAUAUUUAACGCAAUUAAUGCAUGCGCUGCACGACCCACUCACGCAUUGUCGCGCUCAAUCUGUAAUGGCGCCGUUUUACCUAUAUAGAGAGCUAAAAGGCAGCAUAAAAUGAGUAGAGUGGAUUUUGGAAGCCUUUGGAGCCUUUUUUUAAUUGGCUAAAGCCUUACAAUCCCUCUUCCUACGAUUAGAGCUAUCGUGGGAAGCAAUGUGGGGAAGCAAGGUAGUAAUUGAUCUUUUUCUUAACACCCUAUGUUAUCUCCCAACGCAGAGAAGAUAGAUCAAUUGGUAGCACUACGCACAGUCAUGGUUCCACUUCCCAUCAUGCAUUUGGGCAUGGCUACAGUAUCAUUUACUGAAAGCUCAACAAAUACACUAGAUGGCAAUAUUUAGUCAAAAUAUACAAAGUCACAUUUGUCCUUUAAGAAUUACAAGUCUUUCUAUCCGUGGCUCCCUCUCACAGAAAGAAUGUUAAUAAUGUAAAUGCCAUUUGAGCAUUUAUUGUCAUAAUAAAUACAGUACUUAUGUACUGUAUGUUGAAUGUAUAUAUUCGUCCGAGUUUUAUUCAUUUUUUUCUUAAUGCCAAAAUGUACAUGAUCGGGAAAAAUUAUCGGGAAUGACUGGAAUUGAAUCGGGAGCAAAAAAAAGCAAUCGGAUCGGGAAAUAUCGGGUUCGGCAGAUACUCAAACUAAAACGAUCGGGAUCGGAUCGGGAGCAAAAAAACAUGAUCGGAACGACCCUAUUGGCGACAUAACUGUAAUUUCCGCAUGAAUCGUAAUUAACCGUUUAAGAACCCCUAAAUACCCCCCAGAUCUCAAAAUAACUAUCCAAAAACAUGUAUUAGACGUCAAUGUACCAUCCUCGCCAGGAAGAAAAAAACGACUGGAGACAAAAUAGCGGAUGAGACUCCGGCGUCGUGAAGUGAAAUCACAUAAGUUGGGAAGUCGAAAUCAAAUAAGUCGGGACGUCGUAACCCGUGGACUACCUGUAUUGCUAAAAAUAAAAAUCAUUAAAAUGCGCAAAUCUUUCCAAAAUUGAAAAAGCAUAUCUUGAAAUAGUGCAAAAAUAAAUACUCACUCAGUUUUUCAAUGCCGUUAUCCUCGGGCUAGAGCAAAGUAAACAUUUACUGAUUUGAAAAUAAAACAUACCGUAAUUUACCGAAUACAACGCGCACUUUUUUCCCCCAAAAUCAACUUGUAAAAUCGUGGUUCGCAUUAUACACGGGUACAGGGAUGGAGACAGAAAUAUAUAUUUAUAAAAAACGAUUUUUAAAAAAUUUAUUGACGCGGCCAUGUUGUGUUGAAGACACGUAUGCGGGGAUCUGUUGCCGACCAUUACGGUACGUGACGUCACCAUUUUGUUUCAGUAAUACUUCACUCUGAUCGGUCGAAUGAUUUCGUAAUUGUUAAAUUCUGCUUUUUUCACUCUUCAUAAAGCACAGAAUUUAGUUUCUUGAACUCAUUUGAGUCAACGUUUAUUGCAGCUCUGCAACUCGGACCAUAACAAAUGUAACACAACACAGACUUCCUGUGUCCGUCAACUAUAUCUGUCCCUCAGGAAACUCAAACCCAAAUAACAAUAGUUCCUCUUGUUACUGUAGCGAUGCGCUAGUUCUGCUAGUUCUCUAGCUCUUUUUUCUUGUAUUCUUCUAUUUAUUGGUGCUAAAAUUAGGGUGCGCGUUAUAUACGGGUACAAUAAUUUCCCCUAGAUUUUACAAGUAAAUUUGGGGUGCGCCAUAUAUUCGGGAAUUUACGGUAAAUACACUUCAAAAAAGUGUGAGUAAUACUGCAUUUAAUAGUUCCUCCUCUGUACAUUCGCCAUAACUUUCCUAGUAGUGAUUAAUGAUAACGUCUUCUUUAUGUGUUUUGGUUUGUCUACUUUUCCCCGUCAUGUUGGUUGUUGGCUUAGGCACAUUACCUCUACCGCCCCCUGGAAUAAAGGAGGACUAACUCCAGCAUGGAUUUUUGUUUGUUUUUCUCGAACGUGUUCGGUAUUCGUAUACAGUACAGGAGGAAUACAAAUACCGUUACACUGUAGUUGUAAACUAAUGUGUGGUCACAUGACAAAGUUGACCAUACUUAUUACAAAAAACGUGUUUCAACAAUUGUUUAACGUGAACAUGUAACAAUUAGGAUGCCAUUGAGAAUCUCAUGAUCUCUCAUCUUAUAUAAAUUAGGUCAAAAUUGUCAAAGUUGAUGUUUUUAUUCAAGUCACGUUAAAUUUAAAGUGCAAUUGACACAAGAAAGCAUAUUUUCAUAUUCAUAUUACACGCAGUAUUUUGUGCUCCUGAAUGAAAUGUGCUUGGAUGUGUGUGGAAGCGAUUGAUAUAUUUAUUUAUUAAACUUUUUGAAUCCCGCGCCAUGAAAAUGAGUGCCUUCCAGCUAGAGUUGAGGAAGAAGGCGGAUGUGACGUUAGAGCAGUGCUUCUCAAUUAUUUUCUGUUACGCCCCCCCAAGGAAGACGUAAAUGUUUCGCGCCCCCCCAAACUUUGCCGCCACUGUAGAUAGUAUUAUUUAUCUAUAAUAUUACUAUUAUAAGUACACCUCUGCCUCACAUUGUAUCCUUUUUUUCUAUUAGAGAAAAUAACAGAGAUCAACUUAUAAAGUAUUAACAUUGUUUUGUUUGCAACAGAAAACACUUAACGCGAAUCAAUUUGCUUGAAUUAAAAAAAAAAAAAAAAGUCACAUCCAAACAGUAAAAAUACACUCAAGGUAAAUUUUUGACCAUUUGAUACUGAAAAAUAAAAUCAGUAAAUAAUAACAAAUCCAAAUUGAUUAGAAACAUGAACUCAUGAGGACAAUAUGCCAAAAAAUUGACCGAAAAAACAAAACUGAAUAGAAGAAGAAAAAAAAAGUGUCUUUGUACAGAAGGACAGUUUUUAUUUUCGCUGCUCGCUGCUCACAGUAUCACCUCCAGUUUGUAAUGGUGUGGGGUUAUUUUGCACUGAGCAUGCUAACAGUGCUCACUGGUUUACUGUUAUAACACUGACAAAGCGGGACGAUUGUUGGCAAUAUCCGGCACGUUUUCGCUGAAAAACAACGAAGCGGCUUAUCAAUUAGAUUGGGGUCUAAUGUCUUUAAGUGGCGUCUUAAUUGAUUUGGCUUCAGGCUGUCCGCUAUAAUCAUUUUUAGACACAGUAAACAGUGGUCUUUCCUCAUCUACCGCUGUAUUAAAUGUCAAAGCUAAAAGGCAAACGGCCCGAAAAAAGCGCAUUCUCGGCGGCCGAGGGAGAACCGUAGGUGAGGGCGGUCGUCGUGACGAUCCCAAGCCGAAAAUGGCACUUCUCGGGCGGACAUGUGAGAACCGGAGAAGCUGGCCGGAAAACGGCUUUUGAAAACGGCGCACAGCUCUCCAGCUCUUCAUGAGUCUCUUCCGUGUGCUCUUGCUUACUUCAAAAAUACUGCGCGCACUUUGAAAAUGAGAGCGCCACUGCCACCCACUGAGUGGAUGUGCAAGUACACUUUAUUCUAGUACGGCAAAAAAAAAAAAAAGCAUGUUCCCCGAGGUCACGCGCGUCACCCCUGGCAUCGCUCUGCGCCCCCCUGGGGGGGCGCGCCCCACUAUUUGAGAAGUACUGCGUUAGAGAAUGAGAUCAUCUUCAUUAUACAGCCAUACUAUUAUUGUAUGGAGAAAUACUACAGAUUCAGCUGAUUCUCCGGAAUAAUUUGUUUAUUUUUCACGUCACGCCAGCCCAAUGUGCUGCAUACUUUUGUUGCUACACCAGGGAGAGUGGUGUGAGCCUUUUUGGGUUUCCAACAAAUCCUGUUCACCGCAAAGAAUGGGCAAAACAAGUCCGACAAUCGAGGGACCAUUGGACGGACGAGGAAGUGAGCAAGUUUUAUAUGACGUCAAAACUGGGAAUAAUGGGAUAGCAGGGCGUGCUUGCAUUCAUCGGCCGGCGAACAUGGCGUGUGACAAGCCGCUCGAGAGUGAGACAUUUUCGGCGUUCAUUCCCUUGCUGCGCCCUCGCGGGACUGCUUACCGGGGCCGAAGCAGGGGAAUGACGAGCUGUAAUAGUCCACUGAAAGUUGCUUGGCUGAUCGGUGAAGGCAAUCACUCCUGCCACCGCGUGUGACAUGAGUCGGGGUACUUUUAUGUGAUUUUUUUUUGUUUGAAAGGCGGGGAAGAGGCUUGGAAGAGCCGCUUGGUUCAGUUUAACAUGUAGCCUAGCUCUCACGCCUCCGGUUAUGUUUACGCUCUUUCCUCCGUCUCCAAGUCCGGCAGGGAAAUAACAAAAGCAUCGAACAACUCCGGUGGCAUAAAAAACCAGUUCGGAGGUUUAAGAAGUCGGCAGUUUUUGACAAUUAUGCAGUAAUUUAGCCUUGUCGUACUGACUAAAUGUAGUGCAUGCUCGAAGGAAAAUUCUUGGAAGUCAAGACGAGUUACAAACAUUCCGUUUUUUUUACAGUUUUUAGCCAAGGCUAUCUGUUAGUUUAUCUUUUCACUACAAUUUUUUGGUUACAGACCCUUCUUCCUGUCAUUUACUUUUCAUUUUACAAACACUCAGCACCAGUUUCAGGUCACAUCCUAAUUGGCAGUCAGUCUGUUUACGUCACCGUCACAAAAUCCGUGGCUCGGCCAAACUUGAUGUUGACCACAAAUAAGGAUUUGUCCCCGUAAAUAUUGAACGGGUCCAUUGUCGACUUUGCCGUUUUCAGAGCAGAUUAAGGAGCCAAAAUCCCCUAUAAUCGUUCAGAAAAAUCUUCCAGAAACAGCCAACAAUUGGGUGUUUGCUGACUUUGGAGGAAAAAGGCGCAAAUUUGGAUCAAUUAUCUUUUUGAGUCUGUUUGAACUUGCUCAAAACAGAAUAUCAUUUUCUCGAAAUGAUAGGUCGCCGCUGUGUGUUCACGUUAUUGCUCUCCCUGGUGCUAGCUGACCACUUUCUCCGAGGGUGAAGCACAAUUGUAAAAAUAUUACUUGUCAGUAUGUACUUUAGGACAAGCACAUUGUAUUGUAGAUAAUUCACACUGUACAUACAAAACACAUGCUUUUGGCAUUGGCCCUGUAAAACUGUAAAUGAAUGAUUUGUGUGACCCAUUGUUGUCUUUGUCAACGAUGACGAAAAUACUUCGUCGACAGAGCUAAAAACAUGUCAUGGGAGACUAAAACAUAACGAAAUGAAUGUUUUCAUCUGACGAGACGAAAAUGCGCCAUAGUUUCCGUUAUAUGUUCACAAUGUGUGACAUUUUCUUAUUGUACAUUUAGUUCAUCAGCAUUUAUCGGAGCAUAUUUGGGUCGAGUCAAUCAUGUGAUAUUAAGACAUUAACUCAACCACUACUGAAGACGUAUAAACAAUGAUGUUCUUCAAACCAGGCUGUGCUUGCUUGUUUUGAAACACAAGGUAAAGAUUUGUAAGAAAACAAAUCUUCACAAGAGAGAAUACGCAUUGUUGCUUUAGCCUUAAAAGUUAUGUGCCGAGUGAUCGCACACCAAAUGUAACUUGUAGCAUUAGCGUUCGCGUUAGCUUUAGCAUGAACUUUCGUGUAGUGUGCGUCCUCUUAAGCUGUUUUGUUGGUGUCGGCUACGGCUUACCGUACUGCUCUGUGCUUCCAGUUGCAGAUAAAACCAAAAACCUCACGAACUUAGCAUUGUCCUUGCAGAAGCUAAAAUACUGUUUGGAAUUUUUACAUUUAUUUUUGGACUAAAAUCUUUGAAUUUUUAUUAACGAAAGCAUUUGGAGUAUUCGUCGACGAAAACGAGGUGAGGUCUAAAACAUUUUGAAAUGACUAAAACAGUGUUUUUCAACCGGUGUGCCGUGAGAGAUCGUCAGGUGUGCCGCGAGAAAUUAUCCAAUUGUAUUUUAUUUAUUUAUUUAUUUAUUUUUAUACGAAGGAAGUAGUAGGCAGAAAGUUCUCGGUUGUGUGCAGAUGAGCUAGGUAUUGCUUGUGUUGCGUUCAAGAACUGCUCGGAUUUCUAGCCAUCAGCCACUUUGCUGUCCAGGAUAAUGUGGACCCCAGCACUAGUGAUGUGUCGGUUGCGAACGAGCCGGUACAAAGAGCCGGCUCUUUGAAGUGAACGAUGAGAGCCGGCACCCUCCCUCGAGAGCCGGCUCUGUCAUUUUGCCUCCCCCCUCUCUCUCUACCUCUCUAUGUCGCUAUCUCUUUUCACGUGUCUGAAGCGAGGUUUGGCAGUGGCUCAGCUGCUGUGCUCAGAGAGGGAGAGAGGAAGGGAAAGGGGAGGGUCGAGGGGCUUAGUACUAGGUAGUGCAUGCUGAGCACAUGCUCCGUCGCGUCUGCGCAGCCACAGACAGACACAGGAGAAGGAAAGGACGACAACACUAACACAGUUUGUAGGCCUUCAAGAUAAGCCGAAAACGCAGUAACAUUUGGAGACAUUUUAAUUGGUCAGAUGACAAUAAGGCAGAAUGCCGUGUCUGAAAACUUAACCCCUUAUAGCCUGAUGUAUCACAUUUGUGUAUCACUUAGAAUUUCAUUAUUUUGAGACUCUAAUUUAGAAUUUUUUUUUUUUUUAAUGAUGGAUGCAAGUCAACGCACUCAUCUGCAGGUUCCAUCAGAAAAAAAAUCUGGAUUUAGCUAAAAGACUGGACAAAUAAUUACUGAGAGAAGGAGCCGGAUCAGCCCGUCCAAGUUGAAGUAUUUAGUUUUCUUGAAUGCAAAUUUAAAAUAAAGCAAGGAGUAGCUUAUGUUUGUU